RNAcentral lists this ribosomal RNA (253 nucleotides) under uncultured bacterium. RNAcentral describes it as "partial 16S ribosomal RNA". It matches the Rfam family "Bacterial small subunit ribosomal RNA", at positions 524 to 776 of the family's 1533-position model. The record is from RNAcentral.
UACGUAGGGGGCAAGCGUUGUCCGGAUUUAUUGGGCGUAAAGCGCACGCAGGCGGUCUUUCGCGUUUUGAGUGACAGGUGGGGGCUUAACUCCCACAGGCCUCAGAAGACGGGAAGACUUGAGGGCUUCAGAGGGACGCGGAAUUCCAGGUGGAGCGGUGAAAUGCGUAGAGAUGGGGGAGAACACUCGUGGCGAAGGCGGCCAGCUAGACCAGUUCUGACACUGAGGCGCGACAGCGUGGGGAGCAAACAGG